UACGUAGGGGGCAAGCGUUGUCCGGAUUUAUUGGGCGUAAAGAGCUCGUAGGCGGUCUGUCGCGUCUGCUGUGAAAACUCGGGGCUUAACCCCCGGGCCUGCAGUGGGUACGGGCAGACUAGAGUGCGGUAGGGGAGACUGGAAUUCCUGGUGUAGCGGUGAAAUGCGCAGAUAUCAGGAGGAACACCGGUGGCGGAAGGCGGGGUCUCUGGGCCGAUACUGACGCUGAGGAGCGAAAGCGUGGGGAGCGAACAGG
RNAcentral lists this ribosomal RNA (256 nucleotides) under uncultured bacterium. RNAcentral's name for it is "partial 16S ribosomal RNA". It matches the Rfam family "Bacterial small subunit ribosomal RNA", at positions 524 to 776 of the family's 1533-position model. The record is from RNAcentral.